This 497-nucleotide ribosomal RNA is filed under the name uncultured bacterium. Its description in RNAcentral is "partial 16S ribosomal RNA". It matches the Rfam family "Bacterial small subunit ribosomal RNA", at positions 28 to 507 of the family's 1533-position model. The record is from RNAcentral.
GAUGAACGCUGGCGGCGUGCCUAAUACAUGCAAGUCGAGCGAACAGAUGAGGAGCUUGCUCCUCUGACGUUAGCGGCGGACGGGUGAGUAACACGUGGAUAACCUACCUAUAAGACUGGGAUAACUUCGGGAAACCGGAGCUAAUACCGGAUAAUAUAUUGAACCGCAUGGUUCAAUAGUGAAAGACGGUUUUGCUGUCACUUAUAGAUGGAUCCGCGCCGCAUUAGCUAGUUGGUAAGGUAACGGCUUACCAAGGCAACGAUGCGUAGCCGACCUGAGAGGGUGAUCGGCCACACAGGAACUGAGACACGGUCCAGACUCCUACGGGAGGCAGCAGUAGGGAAUCUUCCGCAAUGGGCGAAAGCCUGACGGAGCAACGCCGCGUGAGUGAUGAAGGUCUUCGGAUCGUAAAACUCUGUUAUUAGGGAAGAACAAAUGUGUAAGUAACUAUGCACGUCUUGACGGUACCUAAUCAGAAAGCCACGGCUAACUACGUG